UACAGAGGUCCCAAGCGUUGUUCGGAUUCACUGGGCGUAAAGGGUGCGUAGGCGGUCGGGUAAGUCUGAUGUGAAAUCUCACAGCUUAACUGUGAAACUGCAUUGGAUACUAUUCGGCUUGAGAGUUGGAGGGGGGACUGGAAUUCUCGGUGUAGCAGUGAAAUGCGUAGAUAUCGGGAGGAACACCUGUGGCGAAAGCGGCUCACUGGACCACAACUGACGCUGAGGCGCGAAAGCUAGGGGAGCAAACAGG
RNAcentral lists this ribosomal RNA (253 nucleotides) under uncultured bacterium. RNAcentral describes it as "partial 16S ribosomal RNA". It matches the Rfam family "Bacterial small subunit ribosomal RNA", at positions 524 to 776 of the family's 1533-position model. The record is from RNAcentral.